Molecule: long non-coding RNA, 1290 nt
Organism: Oncorhynchus mykiss (rainbow trout)
Lineage: Eukaryota; Metazoa; Chordata; Actinopteri; Salmoniformes; Salmonidae
Source: RefSeq, a predicted model, not a curated record
AACUUCUGUGUAUAACCGUAUAUAAGACAACUGCUGGAACUGUCCCAGGGGAGCUUCUGACAGACAUGUGUACUAUGGUGCAUUGAGUUGGUUGGAAUCUCUCCAGCGCGCUGACAAUAAACAAUGAUUCAUUUAAGAUUGACUUCGAGUGUCCCUGUGUAAGAAUAUUUCUGCCUGCGGAGCUUUCCAGUUGGGGUCUGCGAGGAAAACCGGAGGCGCAUUUUAUGAAGCGUGAGGGAAAUUCCUGUCCGACCAAAAGAGGACGAGGACCAGUCCAGAUCCUUACUGUGAGCUGCCCAGGAGGAGACACAUCACCCACGAACAAUUGAGGGACGGCAACUUAUUUCAGAGCGACAUGUGGUGCACGUGAGCAUGGAGAGAGAUCCAGUCCAAACUUCUCUCAUGCUGCUGGUGUCCUGGUAGGAAAAUGGACAAGGACAUAAUGAACUGUAAAGGACAGUGGCGGCUCAGGUGGAUGUCCCAGGGACAGUUCGUGAAAACAUAGGUCAACGCAACCCAAGUGUGGAAAGAAAUAUGGAAACAAUGGUUAACAUCAAGAUAUUUAUUCACCUCUGAAUCUACAGAUCCGUUGUGUAUUUUGGAUACUCACUCCCAUUAAUAAAGUACAACCUUGAUUAUGAUUAUAGUAUUACCAUACUAAGUGGAUUGUACAACGCAGAAUGAAGGUCUUGAAAUGAUGAAGUGUCUGUUUUGUUUUUUUGUUGAUUUCCCUUACUUUCAUAGAGUAUAGAAUAUUUUGAUAUAGAAGCUAAAAUGUAAAUGCUUACGUUAAAAUUGAAUGGUUAUCACACAUAAGAGGAUGGAAUGUAAUGGGAAUUUUAACGUUUGCUUUUCUUACAACCAAUUUCUGUGUUCUAUUCAUGUGCUGUUCUAAUAACAAUUUUCUGUGUUCUUGCAAGUGGCUGACUGACAAAUCACACCUAUCAGUAGCUGCAAUUUGGCAGUACGCCCAAAUGUUAUUUUGAGAACAAACAACCGUGUUUUGAGAACAAAUGAAAGAUAUCUCAGUUUCAAGAUCUCAGCUUAGAGUGGAGAAGCCUCGUGAGGUGUUGGUCUGUCACAUGUUAUGAAACAGUAUUGGUCGGUCACAUGAAUGAAACAACAUGGUAAUGAUUAAUUGAUUAUGCUAAAUCAUGCAAAUAUAACUUGUCUGUGUAUAGCCCGUACAUAGGACAACUGCUGUGACUGUCCCAGGGGAGCUUCUGACAGACGUGUACUAUGGUGCAUUGAGUUGGUUGGAACCUUUCCAGCACGCUGACAAUAAACAAU